Molecule: ribosomal RNA, 497 nt
Filed under: uncultured bacterium
Lineage: Bacteria
Description: partial 16S ribosomal RNA
Rfam family: Bacterial small subunit ribosomal RNA
Source: RNAcentral
GAUGAACGCUGGCGGCGUGCCUAAUACAUGCAAGUCGAGCGAACAGACGAGGAGCUUGCUCCUCUGACGUUAGCGGCGGACGGGUGAGUAACACGUGGAUAACCUACCUAUAAGACUGGGAUAACUUCGGGACACCGGAGCUAAUACCGGAUAAUAUAUUGCACCGCAUGGUUCAAUAGUGAAAGACGGUUUUGCUGUCACUUCUAGAUGGAUCCGCGCCGCAUUAGCUAGUUGGUAAGGUAACGGCCUACCAAGGCAACGAUGCGUAGCCGACCUGAUAGGGGGAUCGGCCACACGGGAACGGAGCCAGGGACCAGAGGACUACGAGAGGGAGCAGUAGGGAAUCGGCCGCAAUGGGCGAAAGCCUGACGGAGCAGCGGCGCGUGAGUGAUGAAGGUCUUCGGUGCGUAAAACUCUGUUACGAGGGAAGAACAAAUGUGGAAGUAACUAUGCACGGCUUGACGGUACCGGAUCAGAAAGCCACGGCUAACUACGUG